Molecule: ribosomal RNA, 806 nt
Filed under: uncultured bacterium
Lineage: Bacteria
Description: bacterial SSU rRNA
Rfam family: Bacterial small subunit ribosomal RNA
Source: RNAcentral
CAGUCGAGCGAGCUUGCCUAGAUGAUUUUAGUGCUUGCACUAAAUGAAACUAGAUACAAGCGAGCGGCGGACGGGUGAGUAACACGUGGGUAACCUGCCCAAGAGACUGGGAUAACACCUGGAAACAGAUGCUAAUACCGGAUAACAACACUAGACGCAUGUCUAGAGUUUGAAAGAUGGUUCUGCUAUCACUCUUGGAUGGACCUGCGGUGCAUUAGCUAGUUGGUAAGGUAACGGCUUACCAAGGCAAUGAUGCAUAGCCGAGUUGAGAGACUGAUCGGCCACAUUGGGACUGAGACACGGCCCAAACUCCUACGGGAGGCAGCAGUAGGGAAUCUUCCACAAUGGACGAAAGUCUGAUGGAGCAACGCCGCGUGAGUGAAGAAGGGUUUCGGCUCGUAAAGCUCUGUUGGUAGUGAAGAAAGAUAGAGGUAGUAACUGGCCUUUAUUUGACGGUAAUUACUUAGAAAGUCACGGCUAACUACGUGCCAGCAGCCGCGGUAAUACGUAGGUGGCAAGCGUUGUCCGGAUUUAUUGGGCGUAAAGCGAGUGCAGGCGGUUCAAUAAGUCUGAUGUGAAAGCCUUCGGCUCAACCGGAGAAUUGCAUCAGAAACUGUUGAACUUGAGUGCAGAAGAGGAGAGUGGAACUCCAUGUGUAGCGGUGGAAUGCGUAGAUAUAUGGAAGAACACCAGUGGCGAAGGCGGCUCUCUGGUCUGCAACUGACGCUGAGGCUCGAAAGCAUGGGUAGCGAACAGGAUUAGAUACCCUGGUAGUCCAUGCCGUAAACGAUGAGUGCUAAGUGUUG